Molecule: long non-coding RNA, 2221 nt
Organism: Pyrus x bretschneideri (Chinese white pear)
Lineage: Eukaryota; Viridiplantae; Streptophyta; Magnoliopsida; Rosales; Rosaceae
Exons: 5
Source: RefSeq, a predicted model, not a curated record
UCUCUGGAGCUCAUCUCUCUCGGCUCACUCCCUCCCUCUCGAAGACUCUCGAACUCUCUCUUCGUGCCUCCCUCAAUUAUCUCAGGUAUCUCUUCACACUGUCUCUCCCGCAUCUUCCCCUCACACUUUUUUUUUUCUCUCAGUCUUUUCCCGCGUCUCUCUCUCUAACUCUCUCCUCCUCAUACAACAUCGACGUCGAGGACCACCACGACUCAUCGUCUACUUCGACGAGCACUGCCCCCACAACCCAACCUUCCACCUUGUCCUAUCUCUAUCCCUGGACCCAUAACUAAGGACAAAACUGUGGAAAAUCCUCGUAUUGAAUAGCUCCAGCAUCGAACGGGAUGUUUGACGAAUUCACAAUGUUACUCCAACUUGGUGAAAUGGUACAGAGAUAACUUGGGGAAGUUAUUAAUUCCGGCGAAGCCCGAGAUGUUUGGAAGCUAUUUUCGACCAACUCCGGCCACAUCGGGGGACCAUAAUGGUACGAUUACUAUCAGAGACUCCAGUUUUCCUAACUUGGACGGUUGCGACCUUGCAAGUAUCUGAUUUAGAAUCGAGGUGUACGAUCCCAGCGUCAGGGUACUUCCACAUAGUUAUCUUCGAGUCUUCUCAGUGUAGUACCUAUUCCUUGGUUAAUUCUUCAUGGGUGUGGAUGCUCAUCAAUACUAUAUUGGGAGAUCAAUUUUUUGAAGCUUCUGCCUGUCCAUGGCCUUGCGGGUAACAGGGAGUGGAGGUAAGUUACCAGUCUGCAACUUCGGAACUAGUGAAUUGUAGCCUGUUAUCUGUAAGUAUGGCAUGGAGAAUACCAAAACGGCAUAUAAUGUUUUGGCAGCUUUCUUUAAAAAAAAAAAAAUUAAAAACUGAUGGUUUAUUAGGUUUGAAAGUCUGUUGAGAAGGAGAAGUAAUUAUUGGCAGAAUCCUUUUUGGCGACAUCUGCGUUCGAGGGUUUGGAAUUGUUAAUGCAACUCUGAAUAAAGUUAACAGACUCAACUUUCUCUUUUUCAUCCCCACUUCCUCACUCACACAGGUAGCAAUCAAUUCAUUGACAUCUCAUUUUUCACGCAGUGCAUUAUAAGAAAAUAACUUCGAGUUGAGUGUAGCUAUCGGACAAGAGGGCACCUCUAAUGCUUUAAGCUUUCCAGUAAUAUCAAUCAUUUUGAGAGCAUAUCCACGGACACGGACACUCUGAACACCAUCAUAUCUCAUGGUUGUCAAGGAGUUCAUCAAGGUACUAGUUUCAGUCUUCUCCGACUCCUUGUAAUCUUCCUUGAUUGACUUCAUUGCAUCAGGAAAACCUCGACGCACAACAUCAGUCAUGGUCCUCUUGAUGGUCAUCAGAGAGAUCCUUUUUAACUUUUGCCAUUUCUCAUACUUCGAUCUCUGACUUGUACGUGGUACUUCCGUCAGCAGGCAGGCACUGGUGGUUCAUCAACUCUCUGCGCCAAGUCUAUAUCCAUGACGCACAACACUAUUUUCAGAUCCUGCUUCAUUUCUUGUAGUUGAUCCAGUGAGAGGUUGGCCGUGUUGAGAUUCAUGGAGCUAGGGUUCACAACUGAACACAUAAUAUGUAAAGAAUUAAUCUUUAGUCCCCAAAACCAUAUGUUAUAGAUUCACCAUCUUUAGGUCGAAGAAGAGUGAAUAAUUUCUCUUGAUUUUAAUACCGUCAUAACCAUGUUUGAAUUUUCUAUAACCAUGUAGCACACCUUUGUGGUUAGAAAACAUGGUUGAGUUAUUAUGCCACUUAAAAUUCGAAACAUGAAUAACAAACCUUCUUCAGAUGAUUAGUAUUCAUGUUUUAAAUUUUAGUGCAAGUACUGAUGUUCAGAUCGUUGUAAAAAAAUACAUGCAUGAACAAGAAAAGUUAAUACAUGUCCAUACAUGAUUUCCCUGAUGAUCUGAAGUCAGUCCGUAAUCUGCAUACAAAGGAAAUUGUUCUUGAUGCUUUCGACAUUAGGUUAAAAGUUAUGUGAAAGCUCUAAUACCAAAUGUUAGAGUUUGUGAUGCUGAAACCAAAUCACGAUACAACGCUCACUGUAUGCACUACUCAAUCGAUAGGGCUUGAGACUUCCUGUACUGCGCAAAGAAUAUGAGAGCAGGGACCCUGCUUUAUACUGGAGAUGGUGGUGUUCAGCAGGAUACUUCCCAUUAUGUAAUCCUUAUCAAACUGAUCCUUACUACUGUAAAACUACAGUAUCCAUAUCACAGUAGACAAACUAUU